RNAcentral lists this ribosomal RNA (406 nucleotides) under uncultured bacterium. RNAcentral describes it as "partial 16S ribosomal RNA". It matches the Rfam family "Bacterial small subunit ribosomal RNA", at positions 29 to 526 of the family's 1533-position model. The record is from RNAcentral.
AUUGAACGCUGGCGGCAGGCCUAACACAUGCAAGUCGAACGAGUGGCGGACGGGUGAGUAAUGUCUGGGAAACUGCCCGAUGGAGGGGGAUAACCACUGGAAACGGUAGCUAAUAACGCAUACCAUCGGAUGUGCCCAGAUGGGAUUAGCUAGUAGGUGGGGUAAAGGCUCACCAGGGCGACGAUCCCUAGCUGGUCUGAGAGGAUGACCAGCCAACCUGGAACUGAGACACGGGCCAGACUCCUACGGGCGGCAGCAGGGGGGAAUAUUGCACAUUGGGCGCAAGCCUGAUGCAGCCAUGCCGCGUGUAUGAAGAAGGCCUUCGGGUUGUAAAGUACUUUCAGCGGGGAGGCGUUACCCGCAGAGGAAGCACCGGCUAAUUCCGUGCCAGCAGCCGCGGUAAUAC